GCGCCUGUAGCUCAGGUGGAUAGAGCGUUGGCCUCCGAAGCCAAAGGCCAGAGGUUCGAAUCCUCUCAGGCGCACCA
Molecule: transfer RNA, 77 nt
Filed under: Candidatus Rokuibacteriota bacterium
Lineage: Bacteria; Candidatus Rokuibacteriota
Also listed under: 3 other names
Description: Candidatus Rokubacteria bacterium tRNA-Arg
Rfam family: tRNA
About the family: Transfer RNA (tRNA) molecules are approximately 80 nucleotides in length.
Source: RNAcentral